GGCAGCGCCGGCACGCGCCGUGGCUGGGAUGCUGAAGCUCUUGCUGAGGCUGCGCCAGCGAUUACCCAGUCCKCUUGCUGACUCAGCUACAUCACGUCUCCCCUCAUCCUGCUGCUAAUUAGACUCCAGCCUCUCAUCUUGUUAAUAAGCUUCCAGUUCAUUUGCAUACAAAAAAAAAAAGGGAGAAGGAAAGCAAGCAGCUCGUUUUACCUUCAACAUGUGGCUAAGUCUUAUUAAAAUAUUUAACUUUUUAUCGCGGCGCAGAAGCAGCUGUUUAGCCUGAGCCCGGCGCAGGCAGCUGCAACCAGUUUGGCGCUUCCCGGGCGCGCUGGACCUUCCCCUGUGGAGCAGGAGAGCGGCACGCAUGUGCCGACCGAAUAGCCAUCCUGCGGAGUACCCAAGGGAAAUCAGAAGUGAAAAAGCUGCAGAGGGGCUGAGAGCAGAAGCGGCUGUAGCUCCUGCAGGCCAGGAGGUGCUUGCAAUGGGGGCUGCACAGUGCCCACAUCUGGAGAAGAAAUGCGGGUGACACGCUGGCCGAACGGUGUCCAACACGCCAUGGUUUGCAGCACUUACAGAGCCCGAUUUGGGCAUUGAGUGGGUAAAUCCCAUCAGGUUUCCAGCCCACGCUGCGCAGCAUGCAGCCUCCCGACGGGAGCCUGUCCCGAAAAGGAGCAAGGCGAAGGCCGUGUUAGCAAUGCAGGCGAACGCUGGAGUGAAGGAGGCUGCGAGCGGCAUGGCAGGGCCAGGCACGGCCGCUCACGGGAAGCAGCCUGGGCCGGAGCUCGUGGGUUUUCCGGAGGAUGGAGGAAACAGCUGCCGUCUUCAGCAGCCUCGGCAGGGAGCGUCAGCACCGGCGCGGCGCGCGAGGCCGGCAGCGGUGGGCGCCUGCCCCGGGAGAGCUCGCCUCGCUGCGCCGCGCUGCUGCGCGUCCGAUAAAUAGCUGUCGCCCGACUUCCAGGGCGCCUGGGCUUGCGUAAAGGCUGCUCCGAAAGAGCGCUAGCGGUUAAACAGCUGUGACCGCUUUAUGAAAGAGGCAACACAAAUGUAAUUUUGGAUGUACAUAGUUACACACACACGUAUACCUAUAUGUGCGUAUAUCACAGAAUGUAUAAAUACUCAAACAUAUGUGUAAAAAAUAUAUAUAAUAUGUAAUAUAUAAUGUGAUAUAUGAUAUAUAUUAUAUACAUGUAUACACAUACACAUACAUAUACACACAUGCAUGUGCAUAUAUUUAAAUACACAAACAUGUAAAAUGUAUCUAUAACAUAUAACCUAAUACAUGUAGAUAUACAUUCACAUGUAUGUAUGUAUAUACAYACAUAGACAUAGACAUACAUGUAUUUUWUWUAUAUAUAUAUAUAUAUAUAUAUAUAUAUAUACAAAAAGGUGAAAGUGUCUUGGUAGUCUGUGAGGUUCCCAAUAUUCUGGACACUUGCAAAGCCCAAGCAAUGGUUUUGGUGCCUAGAAACAACGGUUGCUUUAGGAGGGGACUGUGAUGUGAACUAGAGCUGCCACCCCUGCAAAAAAGCCUCUCCAGGCAGCCCCUUCCUGCUGCACAUUUUUAACAGGCAAGCUGACAGCACGGCCAACACGGGUAGCUGGACGGACGACGUAUCUUAGGGCAGCCCUCUGCCCCGCUGUGGGCACUGGGUACCUUCCUUACACCCCCUUUUGCCACCGGCACAGCCACCUCCCUGCCCCAGAGGCUGGCCCAUCUCCACCGUGGCGCGUGCCACCGCUGGGUCCAUGCUCGGCACGAUCCUGCCUGCUGCAGAGCCUCUGAGCCCGGCCGGUGCCACGCAGCGUGCAGAGGGCCACAGGUGCAGCAAUGUCCUGCCUGCAGCAACCAGGCCUGGGGUGGGAUGGGAGCAGGCUGGGGACGACCAGCGUGGGCAGGUUUUUCACGGACGGAGGGGUCCCGGCCCGUCACACCUUUAAUCAGCGCCAGUCAGGAGCAGUCUGCAGGCACCACACCAGCCAUGGGCUUGACGGAGGGAUUUGACGGGAGGUGAAAAGAUAAGCUUGGGAAUGUGGAGGCUGAGAGUUUUUGCUUAUGCAUUGGAGAAAAUGUGGAGGGACAGACAUAAUACGCAGCCACUUAAACCUCAGACUGGUUCCUUGAUCCUUCUAAUUACACGCGUCGGCUGGGGAAUUCGCAGGACAAUUAGACUCCACGCGCGCUGCCGCGCAUUUGUUGGAAGGCGACGGUGGUGAAAUGCGAUCUCCCCAUUUCCUUGGGAGGCAGCCGCUGAGUCUCACUCCAGAUAUUCGUUAUGUGCCACUGACAUUUAGUGUGGAGCCUGAGCACRUGAAAUGCUUUUGUAGCGCUCUUCCCUUUUAGCUAACAGGGGCAGACAGCGUGGCCCAAUGGAUCCCUCCAGAAGUACCCACCAUUUGGUUGUGGAGGGCACUUGCCUUCGCUGGAAGAUCCRAUGAUAGUGAGGAACCCGUGGGAAGUCCCUGGGCACUGUGGCUGGAUAGACUUAUUAAGGACAACACCUUCUCCAAAGGAAGAUGAUCUUACAAAACAGCCUAGAAAUGYGCUGUGCCCAGGGAGCAAACCAGAAACUGUCACCAACACAAAUGGCCACGUUGUUGUUCAACGCAUACUAUCCCUAGUAACAUACCAGUGUUUUUAUUGAUGUCUUGAGACCUGUUCUGCUCGUGUUAGGAGACGCACCAAGGAAAAGGCAUUCAAGGAGCCUCCCUGGCUCACUGUGAAAGAAAGUUAAUUAAGCUCUUUUUGGCAUAUUAGUGGAGACAGUCUUAUUAGAGACAUUUGGCGUUAAUGAUAUGCAUGUACUCUGCUCCCACAGAAAACUGCAUUUAAAUAAAUUGAUACACAGUUCAGCUGUUAUC
Long non-coding RNA from Apteryx rowi (Okarito brown kiwi), 2859 nucleotides. The record is from Ensembl. NCBI's taxonomy places the organism in Eukaryota, Metazoa, Chordata, Aves, Apterygiformes, Apterygidae.